GCGCAGAUGUUUCCAUCUCUUCCUCUCCAGAAGCCACCCGAUUGAGACAGUCUCUGGGGCUAUCUUGACAUUGGUUUCAGGGUAGCCAGUGAAGCUGUUUCUGGAUGGGUGCAGCCGGGAGAAGAGGAUUCUGUGAGUAUACAGGAGAGGAGGAUGAGGGGCAAGGCAAGAAGAUUGGUGGAGGAGGGAAAGGAGGUGAGAUGGACGGAAGAGUGAAGAGAGGUGGAAGGGUACAGAAUGGUCCAUGUAUAUUUGACCUGAUACAAUAAGCGCUGUGUUCGGUGCACUUCUGUGCCAGUCCAUUUGGAGGAGAACAUCGCCUCUACCGCCCUCCUCCAGCUCCCUGAUUGAGAGAAUGGACUGCGACAACACGGUGAUCAGCUGAAUAUCAAUCGAUGAUCUAUAGACGACACAGGAGCAGCACAGCCAGACUGCUCUCUCACUAACACCACUGCUUCAUGGCCCCAGAGGAGCACACUGCUUUCUACCACCACAUCUUCCAUCCCUCAAGAGGACCAGGCCCUAAUGAAACAUUCUACUGUAACAAGCUCAUUAGAACAUCUCUGGGUUGGCAGAACUGCAGUUUCAUCUGAGGGAAGUCACUUGGGUUUCUAACUACCUUGGAGAUCUGCGUUUCCCGGACACCACUCAUAUCCCAGAUAGCGUGGGAACCCAAUAAAGCUACCAUCGCCUGUCUGCACUGAGCCUAAGGGAGACCCCUUGUCCUUUCCCCUCAACUAUCAAUCAACAUCCAUCAACCUCCUGAACUUAAACCGAAUGACGAAAUGGAAUUUCUCCGGCGGCGCGGGACGACCUGGUGGAUCCAUAGGGGGUUCUCCUGGAGAUGCCUUAUCAGCCAUCAGCCAGCGACUUCAUUCAUUUCUAACGGUGUUCACCCAUGUUACGAUUUAUAGAUGGUUGUCCUUGUACAAAGCCUGGUGUGUAACCUCUGAGCUGCGUGUUGAAGCAGCAUGUUUGAUUCGUCUCAUUCAGUCGUUGACCCUGUCUUUUACUAUCUGUUGUCCCCAGUGCAUUAGGAUAUUAACAAUACGAGGGGUCGCUCUAAGCCUAAGGAGUAGAGAUCAAUAUCUAUAUUCAAGGUUAUCAUUAGGCAUACAAAGAUUGAAUUAGUUUAGAACAACCGAACAUUGCUUUAAUUGCGUGAAGAUAAUUUGUGAUUAGGCGUGAGAAAAAAAUGCCCUCCAGCCUCGGAUGUGUUAUAGACCUGGAAGGACAUCAUUUAUUGCUUUCAUACACAUGUUCCAGCCAUCAGAUGGAUUCCCAGACAUUCUUAGCUGGUUCUCAUGUAGCCCAUCUGUCCACUCCCUGGAGUCAGGCAACACAGGAGCCCCGGCGACAUUUGGAGUGAAAUGAGAGUAGGCCUUAAAUGUCAAGUAAAAAAGGCUUGAGAUAGCUUUGACACUAAACGUGUCAAACAGACCCACAGUGUGUGUGUGUGUGUGUGUGUGUGUGUGU
Long non-coding RNA from Oncorhynchus mykiss (rainbow trout), 1476 nucleotides. RefSeq lists it as uncharacterized. The record is from RefSeq and is a predicted model, not a curated record. NCBI's taxonomy places the organism in Eukaryota, Metazoa, Chordata, Actinopteri, Salmoniformes, Salmonidae.